CAGUGCGCAGGCGCAGUUCCCGGCACCCAGCGGCGUGUUCCUCUUUCCCCAGGUUUCCUGUAUCCUGGCAGGUGAGCGUCGCCGGCUCAUCGCGGUUGGCCUCCCGUCGCGGCUCGCCCUUUGCUCUGGACACUCGGACCUCAGCACCCCAGCUCCCGGGGCCGCUGCUCCGGCCCGCACGCCUCAACUGGCCACAGACCCAUGGCCGAGCGCGGAGAACUCGACCUGACCGGCGCCAAACAGAACACGGGAGUGUGGCUGGUCAAGGUUCCUAAAUAUUUGUCACAGCAAUGGGCUAAAGCCCCUGGAAGGGGUGAAGUUGGGAAGCUGCGGAUUGCCAAGAAUCAAGGAAGAACUGAGGUGUCAUUUACUUUGAAUGAAGAUCUCGCAAAUAUUCAUGAUAUUGGUGGAAAACCAGCUUCAGUCAGCACACCUAGAGAACAUCCAUUUGUCUUGCAAAGUGUUGGAGGACAGACAUUAACAGCAUUUACUGAGAGCUCAUCAGAUAAGCUGUCAUUGGAAGGAAUAGUGGUACAAAGAGCUGAAUGCCGACCAGCUGCCAGUGAAAACUACAUGAGAUUAAAAAGAUUGCAAAUAGAAGAAUCUUCCAAACCUGUAAGGCUAUCACAACAACUGGACAAAGUUGUAACAACCAAUUACAAGCCUGUUGCCAAUCAUCAAUACAAUAUUGAAUAUGAAAGGAAAAAGAAAGAAGAUGGAAAACGAGCCCGAGCGGAUAAACAACACGUUUUAGACAUGCUAUUUUCAGCCUUUGAGAAACAUCAGUAUUAUAACCUUAAGGAUUUGGUAGACAUAACAAAACAACCUGUGGGGUACCUGAAGGAAAUCUUAAAAGAAAUUGGUGUUCAGAAUGUAAAAGGGAUCCACAAAAACACAUGGGAGCUGAAGCCAGAGUACAGACACUAUCAAGGAGAAGAAAAGAGUGACUAAGAAGACCCCUAGCCAGCAUGCUAGCAGAACAGUGAAUGCUGAGCAAAGGGCUUGCUGCUGGAAUGCCUGAACAGUAUUCAGACGGGGAGCUGUUCCCAGGAUUGACUGCAAAUGGCCAGUGUAUUUGGUUAUUUACAUCCAAGACCACUCAGUGACUGCAAUGCCAGGCUCAUGGGACAAUUUCUGGCAUGGCUAAUUACAUUUGGGGGUCUUUGCCAAGGUCCCAUUUAGAUUAAUAGAAACAAAACAAAAUACUUCUACAUGAGCAUAUAUGUAUACAAAAGCACAGGAAAAAGGAAACACACCAAACUGUUAACAGUGCUGCUGCUGAGGAGGAGCCUAGGUGGCAAGACAAAGGUAAUUUGUCUUUAUAUGCAUAUUUUUAUGGUGAGAAAAUAUAUAUAUAUAUAUAUUAAUGAUAUGCACAAAAAUCAAACCCAAAAGAGGAGCAUGCCUUUUAUGAAGUAAACUAAAGACCAAGAAAUACAUAAUGGUCCAUUUCUACCCCACUGAGUGUGGGUUAGAACACAUCUGAAACCCUGCCAUCAGGGAAGAACCAUUCCCUAGACAACUAAGUGGGAGAAGAAGAUAGACGCAGUUCAGCAGACACUUCCUGAAUUUCACACGCCAGCGUCUGCUGGUGGCUCCUGCCAGGGAAAGGGGGAAGGGAAGCGGGUAGGGGUCGUUUAACAGUGUUGGAGGCCUUUACAGAUUCUCUUAGGAUUAACAGAUAAAUUCCAUCUCUCAAAGGGAAGAAAGUGCCUGGUCCAUUCAGCGACAUAGGCCUUGAAUUAAUCCUCCAUUGGCAGAGGGUCCACAAAAAGCCGAUAAGGGGGUGAGGCAUUUAUUUGCCACGGUAAAUUUGGGAAGUGAGUGUCACUGAAGGAGGAGAAACCUACAGCUGCUUUGAUGAUUCGCCAAAUGUUUGUGGAAGCAAUUUUGAGUAAACAUUUCCCAUAAUAGGAGGGGGAAGGUAAGAGAUGCACUGGUUUCAAAGCAGAGAAAAACCAAGGUAAGUUCUUGAUUCUGUCGUGGUGGAACUGUGAAAAAGCUAUGGGUAGAACUCAAGUCAGCUUGAGCUGAAGCUUGUUGCCAAAGUGCUAGCCACACAAUGUCCCCUUUCUUGUUACUGGUGUCUUUA
Non-coding RNA from Microcebus murinus (gray mouse lemur), 2092 nucleotides. NCBI's taxonomy places the organism in Eukaryota, Metazoa, Chordata, Mammalia, Primates, Cheirogaleidae. The record is from RefSeq and is a predicted model, not a curated record.